CCUCAAUCUAUAUAUUAUAAUAAUAUUUGUUUUUGUUACACAAAUGUUAUUUUUACUCAAAUAUCGCAUCAUGUAAAAUUAUGUUAGAACUAUUGAAUACAUUAAUGACCAGAUAAUAUUAAUUAAAAAAAAAACCGGACAUACAUCGUCUCAUGGGUAGGCCAUUGUUGUAGGUGAGAAGUUUGGAAGGUACCUACUUAUAUCCUAUACGUCAAUUCUGAGCAGAGUUCGUUAAACUAAUAAAGUUACACGAUAUCAAAAAAUCAGAGCACUUUUGUAACCCGAGAAUACAAAACACAUCUUAAUAAAACGAAUAACUACAUUCAGAACUUGUAAUAUUAUAAUAAUAAUAAUUUUAUGUAGUAAAAUCUUACCAAAAACGUUAUACAAUUUCCGAUCCGUGAUGUUUAGUAUUUCCUAUCGAUCAAUAAUCAGUAAUAAUAUUAUAAUGGCAUUAUAAUAGCGGUAUUAUUAUUAAAUACCAAGAUGCAGAUACCCAAUAAAUACCUUAGCUACAUCGUUAUACCAAUUUUCUAUUUUUGUAGCAAAUUUAUCGGACUAGCACGUCAAUAAUUUAACUUAUCCGCGACCACUACACUGACCUUUCUGAACUCCCGGUACCAUUAUAUCGAUUUUACGAAAAGUUGGUUUUUUUUUGCUAUGGUUCUCUUGCUGAAAAUUGAAAUUUUGUACCAGGAGUUGUAGAAGUAACACGAGCACAACCAGUUUCCACAAAAAUUAAUUUACUCUUUUCCACAAAAAGAGAUUUGAUCAAUUUUCUCGCCAAGAACUUUAAAAACCUAACCUUCAUUUGAUUCAACAUUUAUAUAAUAAUAAUCAAAUCUAAGUUUGAAAGUAUUUAUUGGACGUUCAUGUUUUGAACAUUCGAAAGACCGUUUAAAUCAAGAAUCAUUAUAAUAGUCACCAGCCAUUGCACAUCAUAUAUUAUUUGAUCGGCUAUUUUCACGGUCGACACUCGGCUGUAAUAUUUUCGGCUUAAAUACAAUAAGGAAUAAAGAUAUAUACAUGAUGAACAUCAUUAAUACAAGAACAUAAAGUAGGGCAAACAUAAAUAAGUUAUUAGAAGAAACACAAGGUCGAGGGGAUAUAACACCCUCAUCUCUCCUCCACCCUAAUCUGGUUUCACUUGCAUCAGUGAACGAAACCGACGUUCUAUAUACUAUAACCGUUCGGUCAUAGAAUAUAGGGUUGCAGUUUUUCUAUAUUACAGUGGUACCUAAUCGACUAAUAUCUUUUUUGGUGAAAAAGACAAGUUCAUUUUGGUGGAAACGGGUCGUGUUGGACUUUUCUUUUCAAACCACGGUUGCCUAUCUAUAACUGUGAUUUAGAGUCGUUCUCACCGACAUAAACGUCAUAACGGAGUUCAUAAAAUAACUGGGAGGCCGUCAAAAUCUUAAACAGCAAAUAUUUGAACGGCGAAUUCUUAAAUAGGCUAAUUUAUAUCCCUUAGAAAAUAAUCUAAUAGGUAUUGUCGUUUCAAUAAUUUACUGUACAAGAUUUUUCUGUGCAACAUUUUGCCGUUCAAGAAUUUGACUUAAACCCAGAUAACUGAACAAUCACGGUUGGUCAUUAACCAUAAAAUCAAAUAAACAAAAGCAUUUAUGUGGGUGAAAAUGCCUUUGAUAUACAAUAUCAAGUAUCAAUAUACGAGUCGUUGCUCAUCCGGAAUUUUCCCGGAUUUUAUUAUAUGUUUUCACCGUAAUUCUUUAGACUUUGUUUGGAGACGGUCACGAAUUGCAUACGUAAAAAAGCGUAAUUCACAAACAGCU
Non-coding RNA from Cinara cedri, 1790 nucleotides. Lineage: Eukaryota; Metazoa; Arthropoda; Insecta; Hemiptera; Aphididae. The record is from the annotation of a GenBank genome assembly.